CCAAUAGCGUAUAUUAAAGUUGUUGCAGUUAAAAAGCUCGUAGUUGAAUUUCGGGGUCAGUAGGUUGGUCGUGCCACCGGUACGUACUGGUCUCACUGAUUCCUCCUUCCUGAUGAGCUGUAAUGCCAUUAAUUUGGUGUUGCAGGGAAUCUGGCCUGUUACUUUGAAAAAAUUAGAGUUUUUAAAGCAUGCUAACGCUUGAAUACAUUGGCAUGGAAUAAUGAAAUUGGACGUUCGAUCCUAUUUUGUUGGUUUCUAGGAUUGACGUAAUGAUUAAUAGGGAUAGUUGGGGGCAUUAGUAUUCAAUUGUCAGAGGUGAAAUUCUUGGAUUUAUUGAAGACUAACUACUGCGAAAGCAUUUGCCAAGGAUGUUUUCAUUAAUCAAGAACGAAAGUUAGGGGGUCGAAGACGAUCAGAUACCGUCGUAGUCUUAACCAUAAACUAUGCCGACUAGGGAUCGGAUGAUGUUAAUUUUUUAAUGACUCAUUCGGCGCCUUACG
Molecule: ribosomal RNA, 500 nt
Filed under: uncultured Glomeromycotina
Lineage: Eukaryota; Fungi; Glomeromycota
Description: partial small subunit ribosomal RNA
Rfam family: Eukaryotic small subunit ribosomal RNA
Source: RNAcentral